CCUACGGGAGGCAGCAGUGAGGAAUAUUGGUCAAUGGACGCGAGUCUGAACCAGCCAAGUAGCGUGCAGGAUGACUGCCCUAUGGGUUGUAAACUUCUUUUAUAUGGGAAUAAACUGUUCCACGUGUGGCUUUUUGUAUGUACCAUAUGAAUAAGGAUCGGCUAAUUCCGUGCCAGCAGCCGCGGUAAUACGGAGGGUCCGAGCGUUAUCCGGAUUUAUUGGGUUUAAAGGGAGCGCAGGUGGAUCGUUAAGCCAGUUGUGAAAUUCUGCGGCUCAACCGUAGAAUUGCAGUUGAAACUGGCAGUCUUGAGUACAGUAGAGGUAGGCGGAAUUCGUGGUGUAGCGGUGAAAUGCUUAGAUAUCACGAAGAACGCCGAUUGCGAAGGCAGCUCACUGUACUGCAACUGACGCUGAGGCUCGAAGGUGUGGGUAUCAAACAGGAUUAGAUACCCGAGUAGUC
This 460-nucleotide ribosomal RNA is filed under the name uncultured bacterium. RNAcentral's name for it is "partial 16S ribosomal RNA". It matches the Rfam family "Bacterial small subunit ribosomal RNA", at positions 338 to 795 of the family's 1533-position model. The record is from RNAcentral.